RNAcentral lists this ribosomal RNA (491 nucleotides) under uncultured bacterium. RNAcentral's name for it is "bacterial SSU rRNA". It matches the Rfam family "Bacterial small subunit ribosomal RNA", at positions 8 to 507 of the family's 1533-position model. The record is from RNAcentral.
AGAGUUUGAUCAUGGCUCAGGAUGAACGCUGGCGGCGUGCUUAACACAUGCAAGUCGAACGAUGAAAGCGGGAGCUUGCUCCUGCUGGAUUAGUGGCGAACGGGUGAGUAACACGUGAGUAACCUGCCCUUGACUCUGGGAUAAGCGUUGGAAACGACGUCUAAUACCGGAUACGACCUUCGGAGGCAUCUCCUGGGGGUGGAAAGAAUUUCGGUCAAGGAUGGACUCGCGGCCUAUCAGCUAGUUGGUGAGGUAAUGGCUCACCAAGGCGACGACGGGUAGCCGGCCUGAGAGGGUGACCGGCCACACUGGGACUGAGACACGGCCCAGACUCCUACGGGAGGCAGCAGUGGGGAAUAUUGCACAAUGGGCGCAAGCCCUGAUGCAGCAACGCCGCGUGAGGGACGACGGCCUUCGGGUUGUAAACCUCUUUUAGUAGGGAAGAAGCGAAAGUGACGGUACCUGCAGAAAAAGCACCGGCUAACUACGUG